GGCUGUAUAGAGUAAUGGGAACUACACUCCGGGUCGUAUGCCACAAUGGAGGGUUAGCGGUUCGAGUCCGCUUGCAGCCA
Molecule: transfer RNA, 80 nt
Filed under: Paludibacteraceae bacterium
Lineage: Bacteria; Pseudomonadati; Bacteroidota; Bacteroidia; Bacteroidales; Paludibacteraceae
Description: tRNA-OTHER
Source: RNAcentral